RNAcentral lists this transfer RNA (62 nucleotides) under Passalurus ambiguus. RNAcentral describes it as "tRNA-Met". The record is from RNAcentral. Lineage: Eukaryota; Metazoa; Nematoda; Chromadorea; Rhabditida; Oxyuridae.
GUUAAGAUAGGAUAAUUAAAAUCUUUAAGGUUCAUACCCUUGAUGAUGUUUCUUUCUUAACU